This 686-nucleotide long non-coding RNA is filed under the name Haliotis rubra (blacklip abalone). Its description in RNAcentral is "uncharacterized LOC124270932". The stretch from base 631 to 686 matches the Rfam family "tRNA", at positions 1 to 55 of the family's 71-position model. Lineage: Eukaryota; Metazoa; Mollusca; Gastropoda; Lepetellida; Haliotidae. The record is from RNAcentral.
GUGUGCCGUAAGUUGUUUACCUCAGCAUUGUCACCCAGUGGACACAUGGAUGAUAAAAUUGAGCCACAUUUGUGACAUUAUAGGAAUCCUCCAACAAUGCUGCAGGAACUCAAAUAUGGAAUUUCAGCGACAUCAAGUGAGUGAGCCUGAGAGACAGAUGGCAGGGAAAAUCCCCUCAUACUACAGCAUACAGGCCAGCCUCGUUCAAGAGCCAAAGAUUUUCCUAAGCUACCGAGGACAUCUGCAGACCUCCAGCUAUCCCCAGCAUACACACAGACCUGUGCAGGGCAGGAUUUUCUUCUUCACCAAGACGACAAGAUGUUGAUGUUCAGUACCCGAGAAAAUCUAUGUCACCUUUCCAUGACUGACACUUACAUUGCGGAUGGUACAUUUAGCGUAUGUCCAGAGAUCUACGACUAGCUGUACGCAAACCAUCCGCAAGUUCAUGGAAAGAUGAUGCCACUUGUGUAUACCUCCUGCCAGACAAGAAACAGUCAACAUACUUUAUUUGAGUGUUUGAAGCAGAAAGCCUCCUACCACAACCUGAAUUUAUCCCGACAACACUGUUCACCGACUUCGAGUCAGCAGCUCAGAUUGCAUUGCAAGAAUACUUCUAAGAAUACUAGGGGCGGUGGGGUAGCCUAGUGGUUAAAGCGUUGGCUCGUCACGCCGAAGACCCGGGUUCG